RNAcentral lists this ribosomal RNA (635 nucleotides) under uncultured bacterium. Its description in RNAcentral is "bacterial SSU rRNA". It matches the Rfam family "Bacterial small subunit ribosomal RNA", at positions 28 to 674 of the family's 1533-position model. The record is from RNAcentral.
GACGAACGCUGGCGGCGUGCUUAACACAUGCAAGUCGAACGGACCCUGUGGGGCUUGCUCUGCAGGGUUAGUGGCGAACGGGUGCGUAACACGUGAGGAAUCUGUCCUUCGGCGGGGGAUAGCCGGCCCAACGGCCGGGUAAUACCGCGUACGCUCGUUCCGGGGCAUCCCGGGACGCGGAAAGCCGCAAGGCGCCGAUGGAGGAUCUCGCGGCCUAUCAGCUAGUUGGCGGGGUAAUGGCCCACCAAGGCGACGACGGGUAGCUGGUCUGAGAGGAUGGCCAGCCACAUUGGGACUGAGACACGGCCCAGACUCCUACGGGAGGCAGCAGUGGGGAAUCUUGCGCAAUGGGCGAAAGCCUGACGCAGCGACGCCGCGUGUGGGAUGACGGCCUUCGGGUUGUAAACCACUGUCGGGAGGGACGAAGCUCUGACGGUACCUCCAAAGGAAGCACCGGCUAACUCUGUGCCAGCAGCCGCGGUAAUACAGAGGGUGCGAGCGUUGUCCGGAAUCACUGGGCGUAAAGGGCGCGUAGGCGGCCUGGUAAGUAGGGGGUGAAAUCCUGCGGCUCAACCGCAGGGCUGCCUUCUAAACUGUCAGGCUGGAGCACGGUAGAGGCAGAUGGAAUUCCCGGU